RNAcentral lists this ribosomal RNA (551 nucleotides) under uncultured bacterium. RNAcentral's name for it is "bacterial SSU rRNA". It matches the Rfam family "Bacterial small subunit ribosomal RNA", at positions 45 to 563 of the family's 1533-position model. The record is from RNAcentral.
UGCCUAAUACAUGCAAGUCGAACGAAACUUCUUUAUCACCGAGUGCUUGCACUCACCGAUAAAGAGUUGAGUGGCGAACGGGUGAGUAACACGUGGGCAACCUGCCCAAAAGAGGGGGAUAACACUUGGAAACAGGUGCUAAUACCGCAUAACCAUAGUUACCGCAUGGUAACUAUGUAAAAGGUGGCUAUGCUACCGCUUUUGGAUGGGCCCGCGACGCAUUAGCUAGUUGGUGGGGUAAAGGCCUACCAAGGCAAUGAUGCGUAGCCGAACUGAGAGGUUGAUCGGCCUCUUUGGGACUGAGACACGGCCCAAACUCCUACGGGAGGCAGCAGUAGGGAAUCUUCCACAAUGGGCGAAAGCCUGAUGGAGCAACGCCGCGUGGGUGAAGAAGGUCUUCGGAUCGUAAAACCCUGUUGUUAGAGAAGAAAGUGCGUGAGAGUAACUGUUCACGUUUCGACGGUAUCUAACCAGAAAGCCACGGCUAACUACGUGCCAGCAGCCGCGGUAAUACGUAGGUGGCAAGCGUUAUCCGGAUUUAUUGGGCGUAA